This 1089-nucleotide long non-coding RNA is filed under the name Mytilus galloprovincialis (Mediterranean mussel). The record is from RNAcentral. Lineage: Eukaryota; Metazoa; Mollusca; Bivalvia; Mytilida; Mytilidae.
AUAGAAUUCUUAUUAACAAUAUGCCGGUGACUUUAAAGAGUGAACUAGCUUGGGACCAUUUGCUUUACAUUAAUGGAUGUGUAUCUUUUAUGUCAAUACAGCUUCUACUGUGUAUUGCUCUGCAAAGAUACCUCAAAAUAUGUAAACAGAAAACAUUGUGUCUCAAGAAAAGAAGAAUCAUGGUCGGUCUCUCAUGCAUUUCUGCUGUGACAUAUGCACUACCGUUAGCAUUUUCCUAUGACAUAGAUGAUUUUGCAAUUGAAGGAAAGGUGAUUGGAAAACUUCCAAUCAAAAUUAGAUUUGAAUCGAAUGCAGCAUGUAUUGCGAACGGAGUAGCAGCUUCGGUAUUUGUAAUAUGCAUGUACUCUUCGUUUUGUUUUUAUACGGCAAAAUAGGAUGUACUUUAUACGGUCAUAUAAAUGCAAAAAACAUCAAACGAAAAAUUGUGCGAUUUUCAAAGAGAAUUCGUUUCUCAAGGAGUAUGAAAAGGUCCAUAGAAUAUAGCGUUGAAUCAGCAACUGCGUUUAGCACAGCCAAAACAAAGAACACCAGUGAAGAAGAAGAAAAGAUGUCUAAAAUCAUAACAACUUUAAAAUCAAUAGAUGAGAGAAUCAACCUCGGGGAAAACGACGCCGAACAAAAGGAAGUGCAAAACACUAAAAACAAAAUGUGAAUAUACUGAUCUUAUCAUAUUCGAAGCAGAAAAUACAAAACAAAUUAAUAAUCAAAAUGACAGUUCGAAACCACAAAUGAAAACACAGAUUAUACCUCAUGUUCCCACACAAAAAGAAACCAACUAAUGAAAAGCAAGUUUACAUUAAUGUUUAUGCUAAUUACCUUCGUAUUUCUGCUUUGCUAUUCACCAGUAGCAGUCGUCCUUUAAUACGUUGGAAGGAAUAUAUACCGACUCUUGGAAAAAUCUAUCGAUGUCAGGCUUUAUAGCCACGUUGUGGAUUUGUCAUAUACACGUCAUUAACAAUAUUGCGAACCCUUUUAUUUAUGCUUUUAUGGAUCCCGUAUUUAGAAUCGCAGCACAACAAUUUUUUCAGAGCUUAACUUGUAAGUGUAGUAAUUAAAGUGAAUGUUCAC